AGCACGUUUGCGAUGAUUGCUUCAUCGGUUACAAGCACUUUGGCAAGGUCGUGCAUUGCUGAUGAUCAACAAGCGGAUCAGCCAUCUUCCAUUUCAGCAGCAAGUCAAACGAGGCUGAGAAACCAUGUGGCCAGGAACAACUUCCAUGCAACCACUAGUGACUUAAUCCAUUGGCAGAACUGUGCAGAAUGAGGGGCCAGCGAGCAAUUUGGGAGCAGCACAGCGCAGUUGGCACCGUCCACUAGCGUUUUGGAGGAUGAUGUGGCAUAGAGCUAUGGGCACAGCCUAUUCGUGUUCAGAGGGGUGGAAGGGCGACGGGAGAGAGGCGCGCGAGGCUGGCGAUGUGGAGAAGGCUGGAAAACGAGCGCGCAAAGACCGUUUGUGCUGCGGCUCGAAUUUUUUUCUUUUGGAUUUCGCAUUUUAUUACCUUUUGGCACGGACACCCAGCAGCCAGACUUCAUCGUUAUAACCGAUAAUGCGACAUGGGGGCAUUGUAGUAAGCUGGUUAUUUUAACACAGAAAACAUAAAUACAAAAGUUGACGGUAUCGUAAGUGGGUUCAACUGUACUUAUUGCUGCAUAAUGUUUCAUUUCAUGUUCAUGUGAUCAUAGUUAAGAAUAUUAAUUCGAUUCUUUUUUUUAACAACUGGAGAUAAGUUCCUUUCAGCUUCCCAACAACCUUGAACUUGACUACAGUAUUUUUGUCACACUGUGGACUCCACACUCUUUGUUGCGCCAAAAGAAGCUUUUCCUUCUCCAAGUCGGCGUCUAGCACCACGUGCAGAAAGGAAUUUCACCCGACCUUCUCUCACCAUGCCUCGUCAGAAUGAAGCGUGACUUCCUAAUUCGCCAUGACCAUUUCGAGCGUCUGCCAGUCUGGCGGCAGCCCCACAGUGUUUACAGGCCUCUUUUUUGUGUGUGUGUGUGGCGACAUUAGAGGGACCCCUUCCUCGAAUGGCUAAGUUCUACCGGAGAACUUCCAUGAACCAGCUGCACGCAAGAGAGACGGACAAGCGUCUACAAUUCCAGGAGGCGGGAUGCCCUCCUUCUUGCCACUGGCUCGGUAUAACCAGAGGAGGAGGGGCCCUCUUUCUGUGCCGGUCACGUGACGUCGACGGAAGCAAGAUCCCUCCUACAAUUGUAGAGAGCCUAUUUAAGGGGCUCCGAAAUGUACUUUUGAACACUUCAUUCUCUUCUCAUCAUCCCUCAUCAACAUUUCAAUAAACCGUGCAAGUUUCACACUAAA
Molecule: long non-coding RNA, 1245 nt
Organism: Dermacentor andersoni
Lineage: Eukaryota; Metazoa; Arthropoda; Arachnida; Ixodida; Ixodidae
Source: RefSeq, a predicted model, not a curated record